RNAcentral lists this non-coding RNA (307 nucleotides) under Virgibacillus pantothenticus. Its description in RNAcentral is "T-box sequence". It matches the Rfam family "T-box leader". Rfam says of the family: Uncharged tRNA acts as the effector for transcription antitermination of genes in the T-box leader family. Lineage: Bacteria; Bacillati; Bacillota; Bacilli; Caryophanales; Bacillaceae. The record is from RNAcentral.
AAAAAUGUAAAGAGUGGGAAGAGUACAGGGUAAUUGUUAUGCAGAGAUGGAAAUCAUUGGCUGAAAGUUUCCUUGAUGGAUUAUGCUGGAAGGUCGCCCAUGAACAGCUCCUUUGAACCAAAAGCAGUAAGAAGAUUGCUUUUAGUAGAGGGAAGCCGGUCGAUGUACCGUUAUCAGACUAAAUGAAGUGUGUAUACUUAUUUGCUUCUAGAAGCAUGUCCUUUUGAAGAUGGAUUUUAUAGUAUUGUCAAAUAACGUAUACAAAUAAAGGUGGUACCACGGAAAGCAUACCCUUUUCGUCCUUUUU